GUUGAUUAUACAGAUGUGUGCUAUAUGUGGCGAUAUUCGCCGAGUGGUUCGGGAACUCGUCUUGCUUCAUUAGCUCUAUGUAAGAUGGAAUCUAUCCACUCUUGCGACGUCUGAUCUGUCCCGGUCGCGAUUCCUGGGCUUCAUGAAUGGGAGUGGCCUCUCGCAAGAAGAUAAUGGGUUUUCCCAGAUCCACCGGAGGUUGAGCCCAAUUUUUAGUCAUAGGAAAGCGCUAAAAUUAUAUAAGUCAUCCAUGUCCCACCUGGGGAAAAGCCAGAGAAAGAGCCAAAGUCGCCAGGAAAGUCAGAAUCAGGAUUAGUUUCAUUGUGUGCUUGUAAGCGAUAUGGAA
This is a non-coding RNA of Drosophila suzukii, 346 nucleotides long. The record is from RefSeq and is a predicted model, not a curated record. Lineage: Eukaryota; Metazoa; Arthropoda; Insecta; Diptera; Drosophilidae.